Molecule: long non-coding RNA, 1012 nt
Organism: Hippoglossus stenolepis (Pacific halibut)
Lineage: Eukaryota; Metazoa; Chordata; Actinopteri; Pleuronectiformes; Pleuronectidae
Exons: 2
Source: RefSeq, a predicted model, not a curated record
CACUCACCUCUGUACCUGCCACCCAGGUGAGACACACGGGGGGAGAACACUCAGAGUCCUCAGAGUGAAUGUGACUUACUCUGUGGACACGGCGGCCUCUUCAUCCUCCUCGGGCCUCCGGGUGACAGCGGCCGGGGACAGGGUUGCUUUUUUUGUGCGCGUGCAUCACUUCUGUUACCCGCACAGCCAGAAACUUUGCCUGGGAAUUUCUGUGGGCAAAAAUUUCAGUCAUUGUUUCUGGUCGUGUGUGUAAUGUGCAUCCAAGAACAAGCGGUGGAGUUGUGGAUGGAGGGUUUCAUUCUGCUGGAGACUCAUGAAGAGGCCGAGGGGCGUCUUCAGACUUAAAUGAGUCUGAAGUGGACGAGAGGCCAAACACUCCCUGUAUCAUCUCUGCAGAACCUGACAUCUGUUAAACGAGCAGUGGGAAUUACAAGCUGCCAGUCCGCUGUUGGCAGGAUUUAUGUCUAAUCGCUCUUUUAAUAGCCUGCAUCAGGUAUCUACGCUCGUAUCGGGAGGCCGUUCUUGGCGAUUGAAAGUAGAACAUGUGUCCCAUCUGAUUUUGAAGGUGUUACUCUCCCAGUAAGCAGCAGGAGCAGUAGCCACUUUUCUGGUUAUGGAGGUGCAGCUUCCAGUAAUUUGGUUGUGACAUAUCCCAGUGAGGGCAUGGCAGUGAUGUUACCACAUGCAGCCGGAGCAUCAGUAUGUCAGGUAUGUUGGUGAACCAGCUCCACGCAGCCAAAGAUGGGUGUAACUCGGUACUUAUCUGGAGAGUGGAAUGAUUUAUUAAAAAGUGCGGACAAUAAAAAGGCUCCCUGCCUCUGACAGUGAACUGAUGGUACACGGAAACUCCCAAAAUAAAUGAGCACGUGAUUCAUUUUGAGAAGGAGGCCAAGAUAAAGACAAUCAAUCCACACAAGGGGAAAGUAUUUGAUGUGUAUUGUUGUAUAUGUGUAUUGUUUCACUGAUUAUAUGAUUGUGUAUCUGCUCCUACAGAAAUAAACCUGACACUCUA